AUUGAACGCUGGCGGCAUGCUUUACACAUGCAAGUCGAACGGUAGGGUAGCAAUACCCGAGAGUGGCGAACGGGUGAGUAAUGUAUCGGAACGUGCCCAAGAGUGGGGGAUAGCCCGGCGAAAGCCGGAUUAAUACCGCAUACGAUCUAUGGAUGAAAACGGGGGACCGCAAGGCCUCGUGCUCCUGGAGCGGCCGAUAUCAGAUUAGGUAGUUGGUGGGGUAAAGGCUCACCAAGCCAACGAUCUGUAGCUGGUUUGAGAGAACGACCAGCCACACUGGGACUGAGACACGGCCCAGACUCCUACGGGAGGCAGCAGUGGGGAAUUUUGGACAAUGGGCGCAAGCCUGAUCCAGCAAUGCCGCGUGCAGGAUGAAGGCCUUCGGGUUGUAAACUGCUUUUGUACGGAGCGAAAAGGCUUCUUCUAAUACAGGAGGCUCAUGACGGUACCGUAAGAAUAAGCACCGGCUAACUACGUGCCAGCCGCCGCCGUAA
Molecule: ribosomal RNA, 494 nt
Filed under: uncultured bacterium
Lineage: Bacteria
Description: partial 16S ribosomal RNA
Rfam family: Bacterial small subunit ribosomal RNA
Source: RNAcentral